RNAcentral lists this ribosomal RNA (519 nucleotides) under uncultured eukaryote. RNAcentral describes it as "SSU rRNA". It matches the Rfam family "Eukaryotic small subunit ribosomal RNA", at positions 1161 to 1703 of the family's 1831-position model. The record is from RNAcentral.
AGGGCACCACCAGGAGUGGAGCCUGCGGCUUAAUUUGACUCAACACGGGAAAACUCACCCGGCCCGGACACCGUAAGGAUUGACAGACUGAGAGCUCUUUCUUAAUUCGGUGGGUGGUGGUGCAUGGCCGUUCUUAGUUGGUGGAGCGAUUUGUCUGGUUAAUUCCGAUAACGAACGAGACUCUGGCCUAUUAAAUAGACGAUAUAUCUAUCUAGUAUAUCGCGCUUCUUAGAGGGACAAGCGGCGUCCAGCCGCAUGAAAUAAAGCAAUAACAGGUCUGUGAUGCCCUUAGAUGUCCGGGGCUGCACGCGCGCUACACUGAAAGAAUCAGCGUGCGUUUUACCUAGUUCGGAAGAACCGGGUAACCCAAGUAAAUUCUUUCGGGCUUGGGAUAGGGAAUUGCAAUUAUUUCCCUUGAACGAGGAAUUCCCAGUAAAUGCGGGUCAUAAGCUCGCGUUGAUUACGUCCCUGCCCUUUGUACACACCGCCCGUCGCUACUACCGAUUGGAUGACUUAGUG